UUUAUUACAAUGAAGAGUUUGAUCCUGGCUCAGGAUGAACGCUAGCGGGAGGCUUAACACAUGCAAGUCGAGGGGCAGCGAGGGUAGCAAUAUCUGUCGGCGACCGGCGCACGGGUGAGUAACGCGUAUGCAACCUACCUCUAACAGGGGCAUAGCCCGGGGAAACUCGGAUUAAUACCCCAUAAAAUUCAGAAUUCGCAUGUUUUUUGAAUUAAAGUCACAACGGUUAGAGAUGGGCAUGCGUCCCAUUAGCUAGUUGGUAAGGUAACGGCUUACCAAGGCUACGAUGGGUAGGGGGUCUGAGAGGAUGAUCCCCCACACUGGUACUGAGACACGGACCAGACUCCUACGGGAGGCAGCAGUGAGGAAUAUUGGUCAAUGGGCGCAAGCCUGAACCAGCCAUCCCGCGUGCAGGAUGACAGCCUUAUGGGUUGUAAACUGCUUUUGUACAAGAAGAAACCCCUAUACGUGUAUAGGGUUGACUGUACUGUAAGAAUAAGCAUCGGCUAACUCCGUGCCAGCAGCCGCGGUAAUACGGAGGAUGCAAGCGUUAUCCGGAUUUAUUGGGUUUAAAGGGUGCGUAGGCGGAAAACUAAGUCAGCGGUGAAAUCUUGCGGCUUAACCGUAAAAUUGCCAUUGAUACUGGUUUUCUUGAAUGUAGUUGAGGUAGGCGGAAUGUGUAGUGUAGCGGUGAAAUGCUUAGAUAUUACACAGAACACCGAUUGCGAAGGCAGCUUACUAAACUAUGAUUGACGCUGAGGCACGAAAGCGUGGGGAUCGAACAGGAUUAGAUACCCUGGUAGUCCACGCCGUAAACGAUGAUUACUCGUUGUGAGCGAUACACAGUUCGCGACUGAGCGAAAGCAUUAAGUAAUCCACCUGGGGAGUACGAUCGCAAGAUUGAAACUCAAAGGAAUUGACGG
This 923-nucleotide ribosomal RNA is filed under the name Bacteroidales bacterium. RNAcentral's name for it is "bacterial SSU rRNA". It matches the Rfam family "Bacterial small subunit ribosomal RNA", at positions 1 to 916 of the family's 1533-position model. Lineage: Bacteria; Pseudomonadati; Bacteroidota; Bacteroidia; Bacteroidales. The record is from RNAcentral.